GAUCUCCACCCUGAACCUGGCCUUAUGGUUACCUACUCGUACAUAUUUCACGUGGGUUAUGGACAGAAAAGAGUCUGCAGAGAGAUGAUAAAAUGAUAAUGGUCAGCGUGCUUGGUUUCAGCCCAUCAAUAGCCUAUGAUGAGUAUCUCAAGGUGUCACACAAUGGGAAAGCUUUAAAGGAGGAUUUGAAGGGAAUCAUGAAGUACACACAAAGGUCCUUUAGAAAGGGAAAUGAAGCUCCUGUUUCAAGAGCAAACACCAGAAGAAGAGGAAGCAUGAUGGUGCUUGCUCAAACACCUUAAGGAGUGGAAGCUCCUGAAUAACCGUUACAAGUGGAGACAGAAGGCCGCACCAUUAAGGAUCAUCAGCACCUUAAUGGAAACGAAAUUAGGGAGACGCAAGCCACAGAUGAAGACAAACAGCUUAUGCUUCCUGAGAUAGAGAAGGAUUAUCCAUAAUAUUCCUUUGAGAGAGGCACCAGCAGGCCUCUUUGUGACUGCAGUGGCUUGCACCUUGCCUGAACCAAGAGAGCGCAACAAGUGACAGUGAAAGAGAACGGGUUGCUGGAGAGUCUUAAGAUAUGUCUUGACUAAGAUAAAGGUUAGAUUUAGGUCAGGCUUUUCAAAAGCAUGCUAAAGCCCUCAGUAUCUAUUCAUGUUUUUCCACGAUGAGGGAAGUGUCCCUCUGAGGACACUUCUGCCUCUGACCUCUUGAGAAUGACACUAGACCUUCAGAAAUCCUUAGGGCAAUAGCACAGCCAGAACGACCCACAGGAUACAGGCUGCUAUGCAAAUACUACUGCAGAAGUGGAUAUUGAGAAGCCGCAAAGGAGAGUCUGAUUUGGAAGAAGAUUGCUUCGGUCUCCUCUUUGGAAGUACCUCUUUGGAAGCAGCACAGACAUGCCCGACAUCACAUUAUCUCAGAGUACCUGCCUGCAACCUGCCAGCACAUCAUGUGUACGAAAAUAUUUGCCAUCUGACAUAUUUCCAGAAAUACCUCUCCUUGUGGAAAUUCUCCUUGAGGAAAAUAUUCCCCUUGUAUAUGCUCAUAUAAUUUCCACGACGCAAAGUAUCAGGAGCCACGGUAAGACCAGAACACGUUCAUCCAGUGCUGUAAGGCCAGACUACAUUCCAGGAGCAGCUGCCCAGCGGGUACUUCCACGCCCUGCGUAUGGUGCCGAAAUGGAAAGCUGAAGCCCUAUCUCAAAUUUCUACAUGUGAAAAAUCUAGCAGAAUCUUCUUUGGAAAUAUUUUGUAGCUCAUUUUGUGGAUUAUCUACGUUAAGCGAAGAAUAUUAUAGUUCUGUGAAUUCACUCAAGUCCAGGGUACAAAUCUGAUGGUAGAAACUUGCUUUACUCUAUUUUCUUGUCGAUAUGCAGGAAGAAUUUUGAUAGAAAGUCAAUAUAUUCUUGAUGUUAGUGCAGCUUUGCUUUUAUUUUUACUCUAACUCUAUUUUUUUAGGUAUCAGUCUUUCAAAGCUCACUUCCAAGUGAAUAUCUUCCAGUUGAUACAUGAUGUUAAACUUAUUUUUGGAACAUGUGAAAAUACCAAAAGGGCUUCUAAUCUUCUAAUGAGAUAAAAUUACUUCUCAAGGAUAAAAUUAGGAUACUGGAAGUAUUCCAACAACAAUUAUAUUUUUACAGCCCCACCAUGUAUGUUGUGCAGUGUGUUUCUACAAAAUCAGUAUUCUGAAAUACAUACUUUUUGUGCCUUUUGCAAACUAUGGUUAUUUUGAGGUAAUUUUUUUGUGAUUAAUUUUAAUUUUAAAAAAUGGUCUCUACAUUUUUACUAAGAACUAUCAAAAAUGUAUAAUCUUAGUAUUACAAGAAUUAAACUAUUAAUAAAAGUAGUAAAAUAGAAUUUAAGAACC
RNAcentral lists this long non-coding RNA (1869 nucleotides) under Struthio camelus australis. RNAcentral describes it as "lncRNA (ENSSCUG00000002060.1)". The record is from RNAcentral. Lineage: Eukaryota; Metazoa; Chordata; Aves; Struthioniformes; Struthionidae.